GUGACUAAACAUCUGCUACUAGACUAUAGGCUGUCAACAUUUUAGUUUGACAGAUUUGGUGUAGUGAUGGAAAUGCUACAGUAUGGAGUUGUGCUGAUGAUUAUUUCAUCUGUCAGUGGUCAGUCACUGACUUCCUCAGAUUCUGUGGUGAGGAAACCUGGAGAAUCAGUCACUCUGUCCUGCACUGUGUCUGGAUUCUUAAUGAGCAGCUACUACAUGGGCUGGAUCCGUCAGAAACCAGGGAGAGGACUGGAGUGGAUUGGGCGUAUUGAUGGUGGCACUGGCACUAUUUUUGCUCAGUCUCUACAAGGCCAGUUCUCCAUCACCAAAGACACAAGUAAAAACACUCUGCAUUUAGAGGUGAAAAGCCUGAAGACUGAAGACACGGCUGUUUAUUACUGUGCAAGAGAGUCACAAACAGCAAAGUGA
Xyrauchen texanus (razorback sucker) is the source of this 429-nucleotide non-coding RNA. The record is from the annotation of a RefSeq genome assembly. NCBI's taxonomy places the organism in Eukaryota, Metazoa, Chordata, Actinopteri, Cypriniformes, Catostomidae.